This 403-nucleotide ribosomal RNA is filed under the name uncultured bacterium. Its description in RNAcentral is "partial 16S ribosomal RNA". It matches the Rfam family "Bacterial small subunit ribosomal RNA", at positions 29 to 526 of the family's 1533-position model. The record is from RNAcentral.
AUUGAACGCUGGCGGCAGGCCUAACACAUGCAAGUCGAGCGAGCGGCGGGCGGGUGAGAAAUGUAUGGGGACAGCCCGUUAGAGGGGGAUAACAACUGGAGACGGUGGCGAAUACCGCAUACUAGAGGCUAAUCCACAUGGGAGUAGCUAGUAGGUGGGGUAAUGGCUCACCUCGGGGACGAUCCCUAGCUGGUCUGAGAGGAUGAUCAGCCACACUGGGACUGAGACACGGCCCAGACUCCUACGGAGGCAGCAGUGGGGAAUAUUGCACAAUGGGCGCAAGCCUGAUGCAGCCAUGCCGCGUGUAUGAAGAAGGCCCUAGGGUUGUAAAGUACUUUCAGUCGGGAGGCGUUACCGACAGAAGAAGCACCGGCUAACUCCGUGCCAGCAGCCGCGGUAAUUC